RNAcentral lists this unclassified non-coding RNA (1218 nucleotides) under Hevea brasiliensis (rubber tree). Lineage: Eukaryota; Viridiplantae; Streptophyta; Magnoliopsida; Malpighiales; Euphorbiaceae. The record is from RNAcentral.
GAAAAAGGACCUUUAGCAUAUAUGAGGGCGCUAUUCUUUAGAGGGGGAGUAGGUUCCCAAUGCCUCUCAUGAGUGAUGUGGGACAGAAGUCAUAAACUAGAUCCCUCACAACCUCUUCACUUUUGCAGUGCUAAGGUUUUGCAUGUAUUUCCUUUGUAGAUUUAUUCUCCUUGUUUCAAUAAAAAAAACCAUUUAACUUCAUGAAAGUGUUUAUCAUUUAAUAUUCCAUUAUAAUUCUUUAUUUUAACAAUGGAAGAGGAAGUUAUCAAAGUGGCGUUAGCCUGAUGGCCAAGAUGUCCCAUGAAUCAUAUGUUUCAGAUACAGAGGCUCUAUUAUACAAAGGGAUUGGGGAAGUAAGAAGGAUAUGUAGGAUUAAAGUAAGAUGGGUAAGGUGGAGAACUACAGCCGGAGUUCUAUGUAAUUUCAAAAUACCAAGUAAGUUGAAGAGGUAGUUUUAUAGGACCAGGAUUCAACUAACUAUGAGACAUGGUGGCAAAGUAUUGAGCUAGGAAAGAUCAGGUCACAAGAUUAGUUGGUUUGUCAAAAAAUGAGAAUAUUAAGAUGUGUGGAAAUACAAAGAGGGAUAGGAUAAGAAAUGCAUUUGUAGAAAGGUGGAAGUGACACCUAUUGAGAAAAAUUUGAGAGGGCAGAUUGAGAUGGUUCAGAUGUCUUUUUAGACCAACAAACGCUCUAGUAUGGAUUUUUGAGCUUUAAGUGAUAACAGAUAGAAAGUGAAGGGCAGACCUAGGAAGACAUAGGGAGUAGGAUUUAGUCUUAAAGUGAGUGCAACAGAAGAAACAGUUUCAUAUAUAGCUGAGCCCAAUAUUUUAAGACAAAGCCUAGUUUAGUUGUAUUCUUAAUUUUGCCUUCAGCUGAUUAGUGGCUACAUGCUAUUUUUCAGAUAUUCUUCUAUUCUUUCACUUGAUUAGUGGAUGAGCUAAAUAGGCAUGAGUUAUUGUAAAACUUGUCGGUGAAUUAACACCAAUGCCAUUUGGACACCUGACGUUGCUGGACAUAACAUUUUAAAUAACCUCAGGUUGAAACUGUUGAUGGAAUGAAAGAUCUUCAAAUUCCCUCUGGGAUUCAGCCUGGAGACACAGUAAAAUUAUCGCAGAUGGGAGUUCCAGACAUCAAUAAACCUUUUGUUCGAGGUGAUCAUCACUUUAUUGUGAAUGUUCUGAUCCCAAAAGAAAUCAGUGACAAGGAACGAGCACUCAU